RNAcentral lists this long non-coding RNA (2043 nucleotides) under Homo sapiens (human). RNAcentral describes it as "HSALNT0217522". Lineage: Eukaryota; Metazoa; Chordata; Mammalia; Primates; Hominidae. The record is from RNAcentral.
GGGGUAUUCUGGUUGCCUUACCCAGCUCUGAAGUCUGUCAGCCUCUUCAGAUGUCACUUGCCAUGUGGUAAGGAAGUGUAGUCAGCAGCUGGUGCAGUGGGAAGAAGAGAAAGGAAGUUCCCCAAGACAAAAACAUCUCGGCAGACCGUGAUCAUGGGCUACAUUCUCCGUACCAGCUUCAUAGCUCCAGUGAGAAAAUAAAUUCCUGCAUCCAGGAGAUGUGGAGUAAGAGAUACAGCUGCCCUUGACCAUAUUUCUUACUUCCGAGAAGAUCGUAGCAGUAAUUCAGUACAGUCUUCAGGGAACACCAAGGCCUGUUUGAUUUUCCAAGUAUCAACAAGUGGAGUUGACAAGAGUGACAAGUGGUCAGAGCAAAGCAUUUCAUGAUGACUGUAACGUGCCUGUGUCAGCAGCGACUGCUUACAGUGAGAUUCACAUGACCAUCGUUUAUGACAUAGGAAGAAUAAAAGGAGAGAGAGAGAGAAAGAUAGGUAGUUGAUCAAAAUGAAGAAUUGGAUUUGGAAAGCAACUUCGAAUAGUCUCUGCUUAUAUUUCUGAGAUUAAGGCAAACAGUCUCAAGAAUCUCAUCCAGGAUACCUCAUCACAGUGUCUCACUCUCUCUCCCAGGCUGGAGUGCAGUGUCAUGAGCUUGGCUCACUACAGCCUCCAUCUUCUGUGCUUAAGGAUCCUUCCCUCUCAACCUCCAAGGUAGCUGAGACUACAGGCAACAUUCGAAACCCAGGUGCCACUCCUUCAGGAAGGUACCAUCAAGCUCCAAGGACUCAUCCUCUUUCUCCUUCCCCACUACCUAGUCAUUAGAGCGUCAGCAUCCACUUCCUGAAAGGAAGAUGCCUGUUUUUCACAUAUCCCAGAAAGCCUCAUUUUAGGACAGCAUUUAGCAGAGUGUAUUCAGGAUCCCACUAACCUUUUCGGAAGACAUGACUUCCAGAUGAUAUAAGGCUCCAUCAGGAACUGUGCAGGACUGUGCACUCUGUUGAUACUCACAUGGUGGAAUUAUAUUGCCCUUGGCCAACCCUAAAGCCAUCAAGAUAGCAGCAACUACUCUAUCAUUACUGUACCACCACCUGUAUGGAUCUCGUUGCCCAUAUGAAACUGAGUAAGGAACAAUGUGCAUCACACUCACAGAGAAAGAUGGACAAGUUUGGAAUAAUUCACUGUCGAAGUCUUCUUGAGCUGAGCAGUCAUGUGAGCUUGGAAGAUGAUCCCUCUCCAGCUGAUCCUUCAGCUCAGGCCAUCAUCUACAUCUGGAUUCCUGACCCGGAGAAACUAUGAGUAAUGUGUGCUGCUUUUGAGCCACUAAGCUACAUGAAUUAAUGAAGGAUCAUUAUUAAGUUUUUAAUGGGUCAAGAGAAAGUUACCACUGAGGUCUUCUCUACCUGGGCAACAAUUGACUCCUAACAACCACUAUAAGCUUGGAAGAUGAUCCCUCCCCAGCUGAUCCUUCAGCUGAACCUUUGAUACUCCUCUGAGUGAAUCGAUGGCUGAGUGUCCUGGGUAGUGAAUAUGGGAUUCCUCAACCCGGAUUCAACAGGGAUUUCCAUCUGAAGAAACAAUUCAGGGCUCCAGAAAGCAGUCUGGGAUUUCUUUAGCACCUGAAAUGUGGACUGUGCAAAUACCAACAGGAUUGUAUUGAGAGGAACACAUUCUCUAGUGAAGGAUGCCUUCCUGCAGGGAAUUUCCACUGAAGUACCUCUGGUUGAAAAGGAGAACAGAGACUUUUUUCACAGCCACAGGACAAAAUUUGUUCAGAAUUAAAUGCUGAAAAAGGAGAACCUGACACCAUUAUUCAUAAUUUCACUGUAUAUGAAGAGCAACCCUAUACUCCAUACAAACAACAUAGACUGUGGAAUUAUGUUGUGAAAUGUAAAGAGAAGAUGAUUCCCAAAUUUAAAGGAAACUGGAGGUGUUCUGGAGAAACAAAUAGAGGCUGGAGUGCCGUGGCACAAUUAUGGUUCACCAGCCUCAACCUCCUGGGAUCAAGCAAUCGUCUCACCUCAGCCUCCUGAGUAGCUGGACUGCAGG